AGAUCGAAGACCAAUGCGGGGGUCAAACCCCGGUUGUAUGGUGAUUCAUGAUAACUUUGUCGAAUCGCAUGGAUUCAUUCCGGCGAUAGGUCAUUCAAAUUUCUGCCCUAUCAGCUUUCGAUGGUGGUGUUUUGGACCACCAUGGCAUUGACGGGUAACGGAGAAUUAGGGUUCGAUUCCGGAGAGGGAGCCUGAGAAAUGGCUACCACAUCUAAGGAAGGCAGCAGGCGCGCAAAUUACCCAAUCCUGAUACAGGGAGGUAGUGACAAGAAAUAACAAUACCGGUCCUUUUUGGGUCUGGUAAUUGGAAUGAGAGUAAUUCAAAUCCCUUAUUGAGGAUCCAUUGGAGGGCAAGACUGGUGCCAGCAGCCGCGGUAACACCAGCUCCAAUAGCGUAUAUUAAAGUUGUUGCAGUUAAAAAGCUCGUAGUUGGAUAUCUGGCUUGGGCGGGCCUGGUCCGCUUGUCUCGCAAGGGAUGGGUGUGUACCGGUGUUUGCUUUUGCCAUCCUUCUAGAUGCGCUUGCCUCUUUGCAGCGAUGCGAGGGGGGUUAAACAAGCGAGUCUGGAUCUUUUACUUUGAAAAAAUUAGAGUGUUCAAAGCAGGCGGUAAUGCUGUGAAUACGUUAGCAUGGAAUAAUGAAAUAGGACUUUGGUUCUAUUUUGUUGGUUUAUAGGACUGAAGUAAUGAUUGAUAGGGAUAGUUGGGGGUGCUUGUAUUGAACGGCCAGAGGCGAAAUUCUUGGAUUCGUUCAAGACAAACUACUGCGAAAGCAUUCACCAAGGAUGUCUUCUUUAAUCAAGAACGAAAGUUGGGGGAUCGAAGACGAUCAGAUACCGUCGUAGUCCUAACCAUAAACGAUGCCGACUAAGGAUCGGUGGGUGUUGUUUUUUCAUGACCCCAUCGGCACUUUACGAGAAAUCAAAGUUUUCGGGUUCCGGGGGGAGUAUGGUCGCAAGGCUGAAACUUAAAGGAAUUGACGGAAGGGCACCACCAGGAGUGGAGCCUGCGGCUUAAUUUGACCCAACGCGGGGAAACUUACCGGUUCCAGACUCAGUUAGGAUUGACAGAUUGCAGAUCUUUCUUGAUUCUGAGGGUGGUGGUGCAUGGCCGUUCUUAGUUGGUGGAGUGAUUUGUCUGGUUAAUUCCGUUAACGAACGAGACCUCGACCUGCUAAAUAGUCGAGCGAAUG
This 1190-nucleotide ribosomal RNA is filed under the name metagenome. RNAcentral's name for it is "bacterial SSU rRNA". It matches the Rfam family "Eukaryotic small subunit ribosomal RNA", at positions 212 to 1369 of the family's 1831-position model. The record is from RNAcentral.